RNAcentral lists this ribosomal RNA (794 nucleotides) under uncultured bacterium. RNAcentral's name for it is "bacterial SSU rRNA". It matches the Rfam family "Bacterial small subunit ribosomal RNA", at positions 8 to 796 of the family's 1533-position model. The record is from RNAcentral.
AGAGUUUGAUCAUGGCUCAGGAUGAACCUAGCGGCAGGCUUAAUACAUGCAAGUCGAGGGGUAACAUGGGUAGCAAUACCUGAUGACGACCGGCAAACGGGUGCGGAACACGUACGCAACCUUCCCAUAACUGGUGAAUAGCCCUCCGAAAGGAGGAUUAAUACACCGUAACAUAAUGAAGUGGCAUCACUUUAUUAUUAUAGGCUUCGGCCGGUUUUGGAUGGGCGUGCGCCUGAUUAGGUAGUUGGCGGGGUAACGGCCCACCAAGCCUGCGAUCAGUAACUGGUGUGAGAGCACGACCAGUCACACGGGCACUGAGACACGGGCCCGACUCCUACGGGAGGCAGCAGUAAGGAAUAUUGGUCAAUGGACGAAAGUCUGAACCAGCCAUGCCGCGUGAAGGAUGAAGGCCCUCUGGGUUGUAAACUUCUUUUAUCUGGGACGAAAAAAGGGAAUUCUUUCUCACUUGACGGUACCAGAGGAAUAAGCACCGGCUAACUCCGUGCCAGCAGCCGCGGUAAUACGGAGGGUGCAAGCGUUAUCCGGAUUUACUGGGUUUAAAGGGUGCGUAGGUGGGUCUGUAAGUCAGUGGUGAAAUCUCCGGGCUUAACUCGGAAACUGCCAUUGAUACUAUAGAUCUUGAAUUAUCUGGAGGUAAGCGGAAUAUGUCAUGUAGCGGUGAAAUGCUUAGAUAUGACAUAGAACACCCAUUGCGAAGGCAGCUUACUACGGAUACAUUGACACUGAUGCACGAAAGCGUGGGGAUCAAACAGGAUUAGAUACCCUAGUAGUCC